AGAGUUUGAUCCUGGCUCAGGAUGAACGCUAGCUACAGGCUUAACACAUGCAAGUCGAGGGGCAGCAUGUUGGUUGCUUGCAACCAAUGAUGGCGACCGGCGCACGGGUGAGUAACGCGUAUCCAACCUACCCUUGUCCAUCGGAUAACCCGUCGAAAGGCGGCCUAACACGAUAUGCGGUUCUCAGCAGGCAUCUAACGAGAACGAAAUGUGAAGGAGAAGGAUGGGGAUGCGUCUGAUUAGCUUGUUGGCGGGGUAACGCCACAAGGCGACGAUCAGUAGGGUUCUGAGAGGAGGUCCCCCANAUUGGAACUGAGACACGGUCCAAACUCCGUACGGGAGCA
Molecule: ribosomal RNA, 344 nt
Filed under: uncultured bacterium
Lineage: Bacteria
Description: bacterial SSU rRNA
Rfam family: Bacterial small subunit ribosomal RNA
Source: RNAcentral